RNAcentral lists this long non-coding RNA (490 nucleotides) under Elaeis guineensis (African oil palm). RNAcentral describes it as "long non-coding RNA (EGUI_LNC057851)". Lineage: Eukaryota; Viridiplantae; Streptophyta; Magnoliopsida; Arecales; Arecaceae. The record is from RNAcentral.
CUAAACCCUAAAAUCCUAAACCCUAAACCCUAAAAUCCUGAACCCUAUACCCUAAACUCCAAACCCCAAACAAAAAACCUAAGUCAUAAAAUCCUAAAUCCUAAACCCUAAACCCUAAACCCUAAAACCCUAAAUCCUAAACCCUAGACCCUAAACCCUAAAUCCUAAAAUUUGAAACCCUAAAUCUUAAACCCUAAAUCCUAUAUCCCAAAACCCUAACCCCAAAACACUAAAAUCGAAAAUCCAAAUUUCAAAACCCAAAAUGCUAAAUGCCUAAAUCCUAAACCUUAAAAUCCUGAACCCUAAACCAUAAACCCUGAUCCUAAAUCCUAAUCCGAAAUCGUAAACCCUAAAUCCUAAUACCUUAAAACCCUAAAACCCUAAACCCUAAGCCCAAAAUACUAGACCCUAAACCCUGAUAUCCUAAACCCUAAACCCUAAAUCCAAAAACCUUAAACCUUAGACCCUGAACCCUAAUCCCUGAACUCCA